RNAcentral lists this ribosomal RNA (1234 nucleotides) under metagenome. Its description in RNAcentral is "SSU rRNA". It matches the Rfam family "Eukaryotic small subunit ribosomal RNA", at positions 159 to 1366 of the family's 1831-position model. The record is from RNAcentral.
UAGAGCUAAUACAUGCGUAAAGUCCCGACUUUUUUUUAAUGGAAGGGAUGUAUUUAUUAGAACCAAAACCAAUGCGGUGGGGGUCAAACUCUGCCGGUCAUAUGGUGAGCCAUGAUAACUUUGUCGAAUCGCAUGGAUUCAUUCCGGCGAUAGGUCAUUCAAAUUUCUGCCCUAUCAGCUUUCGAUGGUGGUGUCUUGGACCACCAUGGCAUUAACGGGUAACGGAGAAUUAGGGUUCGAUUCCGGAGAGGGAGCCUGAGAAACGGCUACCACAUCUAAGGAAGGCAGCAGGCGCGCAAAUUACCCAAUCCUGAUACAGGGAGGUAGUGACAAGAAAUAACAAUCCCGGUCCUUUUUGGGUCUGGUAAUUGGAAUGUAUACAAUUUAAAUCCCUUAAUGAGGAUCCACUGGAGGGCAAGACUGGUGCCAGCAGCCGCGGUAACACCAGCUCCAAUAGCGUAUAUUAAAGUUGUUGCAGUUAAAAAGCUCGUAGUUGGAUAACUGGCUUAGGCCGCCUGGUCCGUUUGUUCUUCCUCACGGAGGGAUGAAUGUGUACUGGAUGUUCGGCUUUUGCCAUCCUUCUAGAUCUUUUCUCUUCACGGGGAAGAGGUCUGGAUCCUUUACUUUGAAAAAAUUAGAGUGUUCAAAGCAGGCAGUAAUGCUGUGAAUACGUUAGCAUGGAAUAAUGAAAUAGGACUUUGGUUCUAUUUUGUUGGUUUCUAGGACUGAAGUAAUGAUUGAUAGGGAUAGUUGGGGGUGCUUGUAUUGAACGGCCAGAGGCGAAAUUCUUGGAUUCGUUCAAGACAAACUACUGCGAAAGCAUUCACCAAGGAUGUCUUCUUUAAUCAAGAACGAAAGUUGAGGGAUCGAAGACGAUCAGAUACCGUCGUAGUCUCAACAGUAAACGAUGCCGACUAAGGAUCGGUGGGUGUUGUUUUCUAUGACCCCAUCGGCACUUUACGAGAAAUCAAAGUUUUUGGGUUCCGGGGGGAGUAUGGUCGCAAGGCUGAAACUUAAAGGAAUUGACGGAAGGGCACCACAGGAGUGGAGCCUGCGGCUUAAUUUGACCCAACGCGGGGAAACUUACCAGUUCCAGACUCAGUUAGGAUUGACAGAUUGCAGAUCUUUCUUGAUUCUGAGGGUGGUGGUGCAUGGCCGUUCUUAGUUGGUGGAGUGAUUUGUCUGGUUAAUUCCGUUAACGAACGAGACCUCAGCCUGCUAAAUAGUCGAGCGU